UCUCGUAUUCACUGAACAUUG
This 21-nucleotide non-coding RNA is filed under the name Caenorhabditis elegans. The record is from RNAcentral. Lineage: Eukaryota; Metazoa; Nematoda; Chromadorea; Rhabditida; Rhabditidae.